AGUGAACGCUGGCGGUAGGCCUAACACAUGCAAGUCGAACGGCAGCACAGUAAGAGCUUGCUCUUACGGGUGGCGAGUGGCGGACGGGUGAGGAAUACAUCGGAAUCUACUUUUUCGUGGGGGAUAACGUAGGGAAACUUACGCUAAUACCGCAUACGACCUACGGGUGAAAGCAGGGGAUCUUCGGACCUUGCGCGACUGAAUGAGCUGAUGUCGGAUUAGCUAGUUGGCGGGGUAAAGGCCCACCAAGGCGACGAUCCGUAGCUGGUCUGAGAGGAUGAUCAGCCACACUGGAACUGAGACACGGUCCAGACUCCUACGGGAGGCAGCAGUGGGGAAUAUUGGACAAUGGGCGCAAGCCUGAUCCAGCCAUACCGCGUGGGUGAAGAAGGCCUUCGGGUUGUAAAGCCCUUUUGUUGGGGAAGAAAAGCAGCAGGUUAAUACCCCGCUGUUCUGACGGUACCCAAAGAAUAAGCACCGGCUAACUUCGUG
RNAcentral lists this ribosomal RNA (492 nucleotides) under uncultured bacterium. Its description in RNAcentral is "partial 16S ribosomal RNA". It matches the Rfam family "Bacterial small subunit ribosomal RNA", at positions 29 to 507 of the family's 1533-position model. The record is from RNAcentral.